AAAGAGAAUCACGUAUUUCUUCCCGAUGUACUCAGACAAUUUAACCUUGAUGAAUUCUUGAUCAAAAACAGCUUCAGCCUCAAAGUCUGGUGCUUGAUUUCCAACAAGUGGGAGUUCACUAGAGGCACAGACAGCAAAACGACGGCGUUCUGCUUGAGCAACCCGAGUAUUGAUUGAACGAGCUACACGAGAAACAAGGGGAUUGCAAUUACGAAGUCCAUUAAAAGCAGAAGGAACGGAAAUUGAUUGAGAAAUGUGUGAUUUAGGUGAAAUAGAAGCUCUGGAAGUGUAAGAAAGCAGAGCAGUUGAAGAAGAAGCAGAGCAAGCCAUUGGAAAGAGUGAAAAUAGGCUCUAUGAGUAGUGAAUGGAGAGUAGAGAAAAGGGUAUCUGAUAAAGAUAGGGUAGCUCCACAAGAAUUUGGCCUUAUCUACUGAAUUUGGAGUGUUAAAGGUGGAGAA
Molecule: unclassified non-coding RNA, 458 nt
Filed under: Hevea brasiliensis (rubber tree)
Lineage: Eukaryota; Viridiplantae; Streptophyta; Magnoliopsida; Malpighiales; Euphorbiaceae
Source: RNAcentral